Molecule: ribosomal RNA, 200 nt
Filed under: uncultured bacterium
Lineage: Bacteria
Description: partial 16S ribosomal RNA
Rfam family: Bacterial small subunit ribosomal RNA
Source: RNAcentral
AACGAACGCUGGCGGCAGGUUUAACACAUGCAAGUCGAGCGCCCCGCAAGGGGAGCGGCAGACGGGUGAGUAACGCGUGGGAAUCUACCGUACCCUACGGAACAACAGUUGGAAACGACUGCUAAUACCGUAUACGCCCUACGGGGGAAAGAUUUAUCGGGGUAUGAUGAGCCCGCGUUGGAUUAGCUAGUUGGGGGGGU